This is a non-coding RNA of Steccherinum ochraceum, 98 nucleotides long. The record is from the annotation of a GenBank genome assembly. NCBI's taxonomy places the organism in Eukaryota, Fungi, Basidiomycota, Agaricomycetes, Polyporales, Steccherinaceae.
GGCCGACUGGCCUAAUGGUUAAGGCGUCAGUUUCCGGUUCACCGGAAAUGGUUGUGCACACUAGCUGAAGAUUCUGGGUUCGAAUCCCAGGUUGGUCG